GUAGGAUAAAUAAUGAUUGCUCAUGGAUGCCUACUUUGUGAUUAAAAUACCACCGAUUUAAUUGUCAUCAAUCACAAUCUUGAAACUUUAAUUUUGAUGUGGAAAGCCAUGGUGCAUGUGGAACAUGAAAUUCAUGGUUAGUAUGAUUCCUUUUCCUUUUCCUCGUCAUUCAAAGUGAUGACCUUGACCAUUACUUUAAAUGAUGG
RNAcentral lists this long non-coding RNA (206 nucleotides) under Elaeis guineensis (African oil palm). RNAcentral's name for it is "long non-coding RNA (EGUI_LNC021422)". The record is from RNAcentral. Lineage: Eukaryota; Viridiplantae; Streptophyta; Magnoliopsida; Arecales; Arecaceae.